Phyllostomus hastatus (greater spear-nosed bat) is the source of this 103-nucleotide small nucleolar RNA. RefSeq annotates it as small nucleolar RNA U13. NCBI's taxonomy places the organism in Eukaryota, Metazoa, Chordata, Mammalia, Chiroptera, Phyllostomidae. The transcript has a single exon. The record is from RefSeq and is a predicted model, not a curated record.
AUCCUUUUCUAAUUCAUAAGCAUGAUGGUUAGAUGUUAAUGAUCUGUGUAGGAUGUGCCUCUCUCAAACCUUGUUAUGACAUUAGCAUAUUACCGGUCUGGCA